GACGAACGCUGGCGGCGUGCCUAAUACAUGCAAGUCGAGCGCUGAAGCCCGGUACUUGUACCAACUGGAUGAGCAGCGAACGGGUGAGUAACGCGUGUGGACUCUGCUUUUGUGCGGGGUACAACAUUUGGACACGAAUGCUAAUACCGCAUAAGAACUUUAAACACAAUGUUUAAGUUUGAAAGUUGCAAUUGCAUCACUCACACAUGAUCCCGCGUUGUAUUAGCUAGUUGGUGAGGUAAAGGCUCACCAAGGCGAGGAUACAUAGCCGACAUGAGAGGAUGGUCAGCCGGAUUGAGACUGAGACACGCCACAAACGGCUACGGGAAGCAGCCGUAGGGAAACGUGAGCAAGGGGCGGAAGUCAGUGCGAGCAACGCCGCGGGAGUGAGGAGGGAUUUCGGAUCGGAAAACUCUGUCGGCAGGGAAGAAAGUGGGUGAGAGUGGAAAGCACAGCAAGUGACGGUAACGAGCAAGAAAGGAACGGCUAACUACGUG
This 497-nucleotide ribosomal RNA is filed under the name uncultured bacterium. Its description in RNAcentral is "partial 16S ribosomal RNA". It matches the Rfam family "Bacterial small subunit ribosomal RNA", at positions 28 to 507 of the family's 1533-position model. The record is from RNAcentral.